AGAGAGAAUCGUGGUGCAUAAAGAAUAUGUCUCGGCACUGGAUUACAACCAAGUUUAACUGCGUUUCUAGUAAGAAGAAUAAUCUGAAAUCUGAGUAUUGUGAGGCGAUGUGUGAUAGUAAAUAGGAGAGAGAGGGCGAUGUGUGAUAGUAAAUAGGAGAGAGAGGGCGAUGUGUGAUAGUAAAUAGGAGAGAGAGGGCGAUGUGUGAUAGUAAAUAGGAGAGAGAGGGCGAUGUGUGAUAGUAAAUAGGAGAGAGAGGGCGAUGUGUGAUAGUAAAUAGGAGAGAGAGGGCGAUGUGUGAUAGUAAAUAGGAGAGAGGGGGCGAUGUGUGAUAGUAAAUAGGAGAGAGGGGGCGAUGUGUGAUAGUAAAUAGGAGAGAGAGGGCGAUGUGUGAUAGUAAAUAUGUGUGAUAGUAAAUAG
Non-coding RNA from Pelobates cultripes (western spadefoot toad), 420 nucleotides. The record is from the annotation of a GenBank genome assembly. NCBI's taxonomy places the organism in Eukaryota, Metazoa, Chordata, Amphibia, Anura, Pelobatidae.